Zingiber officinale is the source of this 3098-nucleotide long non-coding RNA. RefSeq lists it as uncharacterized. The record is from RefSeq and is a predicted model, not a curated record. Lineage: Eukaryota; Viridiplantae; Streptophyta; Magnoliopsida; Zingiberales; Zingiberaceae. The transcript has 11 exons.
UUUAGCUGCUUGAUCGUCGAUGGCUUUCUUGGCUUUCUAGUUUCGUUCCGCUCGUCGUGGAUCUGGCGAAACUACUGCUACUAGCCGAAAUCAGAGAUCUUUCGGGGUUUCCGAUUCUUCGUCCUUCUAAUAGUGCAUGUAUUCGAGCUCCUGGUGAUGCGGCAAUCGACCAAUUUUUUGUCUUUUGGUUAUGAUCCCUUUUUGGUCCUUUUUUUGUUUAUUAUAUUGUAUGAUAAUCGAGCAUUGAGGUUUGUGGAUCGACCCCGUGCUAGUUUUUGUUUUUUAAUUGCUCGAUGUUCGAUUUCUCUAGCAGUAACCCUUUUUUGCCAUUAAGUUUCUGGAUAUUGGUUUGAUUGCGUGAUGUUUUAUGACUUCGAUGCUCUAUUUAGGUUUUCUCUUUCUUGUCUGAGAGAUAAAUGAAGGAUUUUUUUUUCCCUGGUUGGAUUUGGGAGCAGAUGGAUCGUGAUUCCUGAUUAUCACGUUGAAGUUUCUAUCCUCUCCUUUCUAAAGCUGUAACUUUUCAUGAUAAAUUUCUCUGAUUCUUGUGAUUUAGGUAUUUAUGAUAUGAGCUUGAAGAAGGUAUGGUGAUGCUUGCUCGUUAGCCCCUUUGCAUGGCCAUGGUUGACAACGAGAGAGAGCACGCCGGUCCUCGGUCCAUACUGGAUACUAUGGUCUUGUACUAGCGUGCUCUUUCUCGUUGUCAUCCGGUUUGCCUUGUCAAGCGUCUUAUUCUUCGCCUUGUUCCGGAGUUGAUGGAUUGGUUGUAUCACUUGUUGCCUCUCCCCAGCAGUAUCUCCAGGGCCCCUAUCUUAACUAAUGAUGUUUGUUCAUCGAGUUGACAAUUGAUAUUCCAGUUCUCUCGAAACACUACAUACAAUGCUUUAGCAAUUGCUAAAAAAAAGGCUCGCGGAGUUAGCGUUAGGCCUAUCAGGAGGAUGCAGAAGGGGAUUUGUUUGCAGUGUAAGGCAAUGACUACACUUUUUGAUGGCCUAAGAAUAAAGCUGUCUUCAGUACAGGUUUCUCGAUACUCUUUGUAGUAGCUUGUAUCGAUCGAUUUUUUUCUCAUUUUGUAGUAGUUUGUUUCACUUGUAAGCUGGAACCACAGCUGAAGAAGUUACUAUGGUUCAGUUGAAACCAAAAUCUGUAUAGGUAUAGCUGAUGCAGUUGACAAUCAAGACCUUUUUUUGUUUAUAUAAUGCGGGGAAGAGAGUCUCUUACAGAUCAGAUUAGAUUGAAUGUGGUCAGAUUCUCUUAGAUAAAUAUUGUUUAUGAAUAUUAUUCCUGCAUAAUUCAUACUUUCUGUUCAUAAACAGUUGUUAAAAUUUGUUCAAGGAAUAUAAAUAAACGGUCACCAAGUCCAUAGGUAUACAAUAACACCCUGCGUAAUUUAGUAGAAUGAACAGGGGCAUCUGUGUCUUUUUACUGUUCCCCCUUUCUUCCUGCUCUUCCAUCCCAAGUUCACGGCUCGCCGUCCCGCCCUCCUCUAAGCUGUCCUUGUAUAAGUUGCUACAUGGCGGAGACCAGUUAGGCGAUCUCAGGUUAUAUUAAACGUUUCUGACCAAAUCUUGCACGGAUAAGCAAGUCCCGCUCCCUCGAUUCUAGUCGGAGACCUAGGGAAAUGGAGAUCGUUCGAACUAGAGAGAAGCGACUCAUGUUACCUCCUUGACGACGAAGUCUAAACUCUACUUUUAUCGCUCCGCGCCAGUGCUCAAGGUCCGGAAGAUUUCGAGAUAGAUCACCUCCGAGGGUAACUCCGAUGGUUUGUCUCGAGGAAAAAGACCCGAAGAGAUGGAGAAAUUGAUAAAAACUUUUGUUUGAUUGGGAUGAAUUAAGAAAAUGUUUCUUUCCAUGAAGACUUCUCUUUUCUGCUAUCCGUUCCAAAUAGAAAGCCCUAAGUCACAGAGGUCACUCAUGUCCGAGUUUCAACUUCCCUAUAAUGCUAUUAGUCGUGCCGAAUUUGAGAAAAUGGACAUCUACCAUUAGAGACACAUUGAGGGACAGGCUAGCUCCUGCGAAUCAUUGAAGCACUAACCACAGGGUAUCUGGGGCUUGAUUACUCUAGGUGAGGGAUUAGUUAGACUCUCUUGUUAAUUAAUCGAAUGUGUUCAGUAUUUCUGAUGGAGUAUUAAUUGCAGCCUAAAAAUUCUGCUGAGAUAUCUUUAAAAGAUAUUGAUAGGCUAGCUAGUAGCUCUUUUCCUCUUGGUAUGCACCAUUUUAUUCGAUAAGGUGAUGGAUCUCUGUAUUUUAAUCUGCUGUCGUCUACUUUAACCUUAGCAGCUGUAUGUGAUAAUAUACUAGUGUUGCCCCUAAAGUUAAGGGAAACUCACCAUUUAAAGCAUGGAGGAAGAAUGCAACUUGGACUUUUCUUUAAGGGUGUAGGCUUAAGAUUGGAAGAUGCUCUUCUACUCUGGAAAUCAGAAUUCUCUCAGAAGUGAGGAAAAUUUGUGAGCUGCUCUUACUAAAAUGGGGGUUGGCAGACGGUCAGUAGACGGCAUAUUGGAUAAAGUUUGGAAUCGACAUUUUCAGAUACCUUGUACAUUGUCAUUCAAGGCUAUCCACAAUGCCCCAUGCGACAGCGGCAUCAACCACCCCAAUCAGUACUGCAACGCAAGCCAAAAGUUUCUCCAGAAUAAAGGUUGAGAUGGAGAGCACUUGAUUUCGAUGCGUCUAUGGCCGACUAGCUGACCCAACUUGGUUGGCAUUAACAAAUAGCUUGUGGUGUAAACCUUGAAGUGUUGCAUAAUGUGUUGCUACUAGUCCCCAUCUUCGCCAUUCAUAUUGAGAUGAUCUUCUUUGCCACCCAUUUUCUGAAUGUUUCAUGCUCAGCUCAAUAUCUGAGGAAACAACUAUAUAUAUCUGUGUGUGUUUAGCCUCUUGAAUCUGUCUAAUAUGCUCAAUCUGUAAAGGUCAUUAUGAACUUGAAUCUGUCUAAUAUACUCAAUCUGUAAAGGUCAUUAUGAACUUGAAUCUGUCUAAUAUACUCAAUCUGUAAAGGUCAUUAUGAAAGUUUAGUCUGAGUUUUUAGAAAUACUUUGCCCUAAGUUUCAUUACCAAUCAUCAUCUCAUUUUGUAACUUCCUCCAACAUUCAUUUACAGAA